Molecule: long non-coding RNA, 645 nt
Organism: Zingiber officinale
Lineage: Eukaryota; Viridiplantae; Streptophyta; Magnoliopsida; Zingiberales; Zingiberaceae
Exons: 5
Source: RefSeq, a predicted model, not a curated record
CUAUUAAGAGCGAUACUUGAAGUAUCAUGUACAAGAAUUUGAGAAAGAUCUGGCUGAGAAAUUUCUUGCAUGCUCUAGUGCCGCCAAGAGACAUAACAAUUCAUCUUCAACAAUUUUGAAUGUACAAGGAGUGGGGUUGAAGAAUUGUAGCAAGACAACCAGAGAUAUCUUGCUCAAUAUACAGAAAAUAGAUGGUGAUUAUUAUCCUGAGCCCAUCUACUCAAACCUCUUGAAGUUGCUCAUCCCUGUUGUCGUCUGCCAUGCUCUUGGCCACGUCACUAGUAACGUGUCCUUUGCUGCGGUUGCAGUCUUAUUCACUCACACAAUCAAAGGUGCUUGUUUACCAUGAUUUGCUGGGAAUGUUACAACAUCCUCAUCAUGCCAUGGUCACUCCAAAGUUUUGUAAAUAUUACGCACAAGUGGGAGAUGUCAUAAACAAAGCCCUUACAGAAUACAAAGACGACACUUUCGUCCUUUGUAGGUAAAGUUAUAAGACAACACUUCUGCCCUGAAUUCAGUGAAAUUAGUUGGUUGUAAAGAAGAGAAGAAGUAAAAAUCUUGACACUGUAAACAUUGUAGAGGAGAGGCCACGACGUUCUUUUUGAUAUCGAAAAAUUGAAAUAUUAUUUGUCAGAAGAAUUUUGA